AAAGUUAUACAAAUAGAAUAUUCCCGAAAAUAAAAGAUCUAUAAACAAUGUUGAUGUUGGGGGAAUUUUAAAUAGACUGUUGCAUUAGUAUAUAAAAAUAUGUUUCUAGGGGCGAAAGACCUUCACUUUUAUAGAUAUCUGGAUAAAUAUUAAAUAAAUUUAGUUUAAAGCAUAAUUACAAUGUGAUAAGAUGAUGUAAAAAGAAUUUCUAGUAAAGCUAUAAAUGAGCCUUUAAUUAUUCCUUAGCGGCACUUUAUUUAUAGUAAUAAUACAACUACUUUUUAAAUUCAAAAACAAUAUUUUAUUAGUAUAUUAUUAAUAUUAUAAUAAAUAAUGUAUAAAUUAGUAAGUAUAAAAAUUUAAUUGAAGGAACUCGGCAAAUAACUUAUACGACUGUUUAACAAAAACAUAGCCAGUAGAUAUUUGAUUAUUGGUGUGACCUGCCCAGUGAAUCUUAAACGGCCGCAGUACCCUGACUGUGCAAAGGUAGCAUAAUCAUUUGGCUUUUAAUUGGAGUCUGGAAUGAAAGGAAAAACGUAUAAAAACUGUCUCCGCAUCAAUUUUAUUUAAAUUACUCAAUAAGGUGAAAAUUCCUUAAGUAUAAUAAAAGACGAGAAGACCCUUAGAAUUUUAAGAAAACCCAAUAUCAUAUAUGAAGUGAUUUUUGUUGGGGCAACAUUUUUUCAUAAAAUAAAAAAUAAUUUAUAUUUACAAAACGAAUACAUAUAAUAAAGUUUAAAUUACCUAAGGGAUAACAGCAUAAUUUUAAAAAAAGAUUGUGACCUCGAUGUUGGACUAGGAACUAUUAAGGCUAGUCGUUUUAAUAUAAUAGGUUCUGUUCGAACUUUAUUUCCUA
RNAcentral lists this ribosomal RNA (856 nucleotides) under Montenegrina ochridensis. Its description in RNAcentral is "Montenegrina perstriata ochridensis partial 16S ribosomal RNA". The stretch from base 353 to 597 matches the Rfam family "Archaeal large subunit ribosomal RNA", at positions 1787 to 2143 of the family's 2987-position model. The record is from RNAcentral. Lineage: Eukaryota; Metazoa; Mollusca; Gastropoda; Stylommatophora; Clausiliidae.